CCUACGGGAGGCAGCAGUGGGGAAUCUUGGACAAUGGGCGCAAGCCUGAUCCAGCCAUGCCGCGUGAGUGAAGAAGGCCUUAGGGUUGUAAAGCUCUUUUGGCAGGGACGAUAAUGACGGUACCUGCAGAAUAAGCCCCGGCAAACUUCGUGCCAGCAGCCGCGGUAAU
RNAcentral lists this ribosomal RNA (169 nucleotides) under uncultured bacterium. RNAcentral's name for it is "partial 16S ribosomal RNA". It matches the Rfam family "Bacterial small subunit ribosomal RNA", at positions 338 to 524 of the family's 1533-position model. The record is from RNAcentral.